CUUCACCGAGCCCAACCACAACGGCUCCGCGCGAUCCUGACCAUAGGUGGCCAACAGAGCCUGAGCCUC
RNAcentral lists this antisense RNA (69 nucleotides) under Saccharothrix texasensis. RNAcentral's name for it is "ASpks TB sRNA". It matches the Rfam family "ASpks TB sRNA". The record is from RNAcentral. Lineage: Bacteria; Bacillati; Actinomycetota; Actinomycetes; Pseudonocardiales; Pseudonocardiaceae.